CCUACGGGUGGCUGCAGUGGGGAAUCUUGCGCAAUGGGCGAAAGGCUGACGCAGCGACGCCGCGUGGAGGAUGACGCCCUUCGGGGUGUAAACUCCUGUUGCCCGGGACGAAUGCCUGUUUCGACAGGAGUGACGGUACCGGGUGAGGAAGCACCGGCUAACUCUGUGCCAGCAGCCGCGGUAAUACAGAGGGUGCGAGCGUUGUCCGGAAUCACUGGGCGUAAAGGGCGCGUAGGCGGUCGGGUAAGCGUGUGGUGAAAGUCCGGGGCUCAACCCCGGAUCGGCCAUGCGAACUGUCCGACUGGAGCACGGUAGAGGCACAUGGAAUUCCGGGUGUAGCGGUGGAAUGCGUAGAGAUCCGGAAGAACACCGGUGGCGAAGGCGGUGUGCUGGGCCGUAGCUGACGCUGAGGCGCGACAGCGUGGGGAGCAAACAGGCUUAGAUACCCGUGUAGUC
RNAcentral lists this ribosomal RNA (456 nucleotides) under uncultured Gemmatimonas sp. Its description in RNAcentral is "bacterial SSU rRNA". It matches the Rfam family "Bacterial small subunit ribosomal RNA", at positions 338 to 795 of the family's 1533-position model. Lineage: Bacteria; Pseudomonadati; Gemmatimonadota; Gemmatimonadia; Gemmatimonadales; Gemmatimonadaceae. The record is from RNAcentral.